Molecule: long non-coding RNA, 428 nt
Organism: Rana temporaria (common frog)
Lineage: Eukaryota; Metazoa; Chordata; Amphibia; Anura; Ranidae
Exons: 3
Source: RefSeq, a predicted model, not a curated record
UCAUUAGACUGAGCUAACCUGGCCUGCAUAUCAGCUCACUCUCCCCUCCCCUCCUUGUGUUUAUGCGCCGUCGAUCUCGGCGCUCCGAUGAUGACGUCAUCACGUUCUUCCGACGUGAGACGCAUCACCAACGAGUGCUGGCCUUUAUAAAGCCAGUCUCAUUCGUUCACCCGACGUGGAGCACAGGCUGCUACCCCCCCGGGACAUACUACACCUCUUAAAGCUGCAAGCUUACCAACGCAUCACUUGGUACCUCUUUACUUGUGAUUCCAAUGAUCCGUGAUGAAUCGGAUGGCCACCAACCUACUGACGUAUACAAGUAGCAAUAUCUUCUUGUCAUAAAAUCUCAAAGCUCGUCCCGAAGAAGCCGUAAGGCGAAACGCGUCGGCGAGAUAAAUAUAUUGCUUUAUAUGUAUUUAUGUAUUUUU